CUUUCGCCUUUCGCCAGGCUUGAGAGUUAAUGCUGUUUUAUCCUUCCUUGGAUGUCUGAAACUUUUGUAUCUAAACC
RNAcentral lists this small RNA (77 nucleotides) under Arabidopsis thaliana (thale cress). RNAcentral's name for it is "ATSL238940". The record is from RNAcentral. Lineage: Eukaryota; Viridiplantae; Streptophyta; Magnoliopsida; Brassicales; Brassicaceae.